GGCUCAGAGUGAACGCUGGCGGCAGGCCUAACACAUGCAAGUCGAACGGCAGCGGGUAGGAAGCUUGCUUCCUAUGCCGGCGAGUGGCGAACGGGUGAGUAAUGCAUCGGAAUCUACCUGUCCGUGGGGGAUAACGUAGGGAAACUUACGCUAAUACCGCAUACGUCCUACGGGAGAAAGCGGGGGACCGAAAGGCCUCGCGCGGACAGAUGAGCCGAUGUCCGAUUAGCUAGUUGGCGGGGUAAUGGCCCACCAAGGCGACGAUCGGUAGCUGGUCUGAGAGGAUGAUCAGCCACACUGGGACUGAGACACGGCCCAGACUCCUGCGGGAGGCAGCAGUGGGGAAUAUUGCGCAAUGGGCGGAAGCCUGACGCAGCGACGCCGCGUGGGGGAUGAAGGCCUUCGGGUUGUAAACCUCUUUUACCACUCACGAAGGCC
This 438-nucleotide ribosomal RNA is filed under the name uncultured bacterium. RNAcentral's name for it is "bacterial SSU rRNA". It matches the Rfam family "Bacterial small subunit ribosomal RNA", at positions 21 to 453 of the family's 1533-position model. The record is from RNAcentral.